GUGAAUUAUGAAAAAAACUGGAUUUCAAAGGUUUUUGCACAAAAAAACUUGCUUUUCAGUUUUCCUUGAGCUUUUUGAAGUACACUUAUAGAAAGCAUAAAGGGGUAGAUUUCAAUACAUUAAAUGUAAAUAGACUAAAUGCUCCAAUUGAGAUUCCUGCUGAAGCGCUAUGAAAAGUAUGUUUUAACUUGAACAUGCAUGUUUAAAAGGAGGAAUAUAUAAUAAGAAUUUUUAAAGUUUAUAAGUAAAAGGGUAGCAAAAAAUUACCCUGAAAGCAAUAACCUAAAGAAACAAGGUGACUGCUAAAGUUGACCUGUGAAAAUGUACAGCAAAAACCAUACUAGAGAAUAGGAGAGCCAGUUCACAAUGACAAAAGGUUCAUCAGAGAGAUAAAACAAUUCUGAAAUGAUAUGCAGUUAAUAAUAUCCUCAAAACAUACAAAGCAAAUAUAUAAAUAAAUCUUCAAAGUAAGAGAUUUUAAUAAUAAGUAUUUGCUAAAACAAGCAGGCAAAAAAUCAGUUAGGAUAAAGAACAUUUUAACAACACCCAGUUAAUGAGAAAUUACAGAAUAUCAACCAAUAAUUGGACAAUAAAAAUUGUUUUCUCUUUAAGAUUUAUUUAUUUUUUUGAAAGGCAGAGUUAGAGAGAGACAGAGAGAGAGAAGAGACAGAGAGAUCUUCCAUCUGCUGGUUCACUCCCCAAAUGGCCACAACGGCCAGAGCUGGGCCAGGCUGAGGUCAGGAGCUUCCUCCAGGUCUCCCAUGUGGGUGCAGGGGCCCAAGCACUUGGGCCAUCUUCCUCUGCUUUCCCAGGUGCGUUAGCAGAGAGCUGCACUGGAAGUAGAGCAGCUGGGACUUGAACUGGCAUUGCAGGUGAGCUAUGCUACAACACCAGUCCCCCAAAAAUUAUUUUCAAAUACAGUACUUCCCACUUAUCCAUGGUUUCACUUUCUGCUAUUUCAAUUACCUCCAGUGAAUUGCAGUCCAAAAAUAUUAAAUGGAAAAUGCCAGAAACAGACCAUGAAAAAGUUUUCAUCACAAAGCGUUCUGAGUGCUGUGAUGAAAGCUCACAUCAUCAUGCCCCACCCUGCACAAGACACAAAGCAUUCAUCAGCCCAGGGCACCUGGGAUGCACGCUCUAUUCACCACUUUGUGCUCGUCCCUCUGGCCUACAACAACAGAUGGGUUCUUCUUUGCCAGUCACCUGGGGAGUCCUUCCAGCUAGGGGAAACCUGACGGCUGGGAGCCCCCAGGGGCAGGAACCUCAGGAAUGCUCCCUUGGCCUGCAGCAUCCAGCCUGCCUGUAG
Molecule: long non-coding RNA, 1306 nt
Filed under: Oryctolagus cuniculus (rabbit)
Lineage: Eukaryota; Metazoa; Chordata; Mammalia; Lagomorpha; Leporidae
Description: lncRNA (ENSOCUG00000031004.1)
Source: RNAcentral